AACCUUUACAUGAUAGAAAAUCCAGGAAAAACAUCUACCUUUUCUAGACAGAAAGAAAAAAGGUAGAUGUUUUCUGGGAUUUUCUAUCAUGUAAAGGUU
This 99-nucleotide microRNA precursor is filed under the name Podarcis lilfordi (Lilford's wall lizard). The record is from RNAcentral. Lineage: Eukaryota; Metazoa; Chordata; Lepidosauria; Squamata; Lacertidae.